This is a long non-coding RNA of Homo sapiens (human), 1835 nucleotides long. RefSeq lists it as uncharacterized. The record is from RefSeq and is a predicted model, not a curated record. The transcript is spliced from 2 exons. NCBI's taxonomy places the organism in Eukaryota, Metazoa, Chordata, Mammalia, Primates, Hominidae.
UCAGAGGACACCUGGUAAAGAAGCUGGUUUUUAGAUAAAGAAAUGCAAUUCCUGGUGCACGCGGUUUCCUGGUGGUACAGCACUGAAGUGACAUCAUGGAAAUAUUUGUACCUCAAGAGCCCUCCUUGAUGUGAGCACAAGGGACCUCCAUGCUCCUACUUCUGCUGGUCUCCAUUUCACCAGGCGCCUCCCUCCGACUUCCAAUUGGCCACAAGCUUCGUCGCUCUCUCUCAAAGCAAUUUUGUGUGUGAGUAUAGUCAGAAGGUGAGUUCUCACUUUCGUGUCCCUCCAUAUUCUGCCAGCUCCUGGAUUUCCAGACCUCAAGCAUCAGAGACCCAGUGUCCCUGGACUCCCUCGACUCCCCAGGCUGCUCCCAGCCAUCACACACUCUCUGAAAUGGUGACCCUCAACUCCCAGGUUCACCUUUUUCCCAAAGGCACUGCUCAUAGGCCUAGGAUUUGGCCGUGUGACUGAAGUAGAGAAAACAAAGCCAGGGGACAUUCCUUCUCUUCCCCAAUGUUGGGACCUCCAAGAUGCUGGGUCUACUGGGAUUUGGCAGUGAAUUCCAUCUGCCUAUUCUUGGUGCAACAGACCUUCUCACUGGUUUCCACUGCCCACACAUUUAACGGGUGCUAGACAAAGACAGGGGCCAGAAGCAGGGGCAGUGGCACCCAGGGCUCCUUCCCUCCCUACCUCCCUCCCUUCCUCCCUCCCUCAGGCCACUUGUGUGGGGCCACAUGAGACUUCUCUAAAGUUAGACACACCAGCAGAUGGGUACUGGGGGAGAGGAAGGCACACAGGUGUCACAGCCAACUAGCACCUCUGGUCCUCCCACUCUUCCCCUCCCCUCCAGGCCUCCACCUCCAGUAGUAACAGAAAAACACUGCAGAAACCCAACAGUCAAAGAAUGAGAAGUGUUGUCUUACAACUUCUGGUUCUACCCCAAGUCGGGUUUGUCCUUCAUGAUCUUGGAUUUAGUUGAGUGAAAAGGGGAAAGUACCUAGAUUCACACAGGACUACUGGCUGAUGUUGUGGCAUUUUGUUUAUCUGAGCUUGCAUAAUGUAAUGCACAUUUGAGGAGGCGGUAGGGAUAUUCCCGUAAUUUCCUAGAGGAUGAAUGUCAAAGCUAAAGCUAAACCAAGGUGAAUGUAGUUUAUAUAAAGAAUAGCCCCACUAACAACUGAGAGGAAAAUGCUGAUCCCGGGAAGAAUACUGCAACAAGCACUAAUGGAUAACAUACAGAAAUAAUGCUUUAAUAAUGCAUGCGAUCAUGUUUUUAUUAACAAAGAAAGUCUUGUUUCAAAACAAAUACAUCCUUGAGAGGAGUCUGAAAUUAAUCCCCAAUAGGCAGAAAUCCACAUUAUUAUAUAUUCUAAUUAUAAUUACAACCUGCUCUUAAUAUGAACAUUCUAAAUUAUUAGUCACUUUAUUAAGAACCAGAAAGAGGACUUCCUGCUGCAUAAUGAGAAGUACUCACAAGCUUCGAGAAUGAGAAAAGCAAGAGACAAUUCUGCACAGAGCUGGAAAGUAGUGGAUGUAAUUUAUUUAAUAAAAGUGCCUCCUUUCUCCUUUUUUGUUUAGGAAUUGGUACACCCUUAGGGGUUCAGACAGCACCAAGGCUUCAGAGCUGCACUUUCUAGGGCAAGACAAAAAUGUGUAUCACAGAAAAAUAACGAUUUAUCAUUGUAACAGUUACAUCCCACUACGGAAACCACCAGAGACUGCUUAACAUUUUUAUUUCAAACACGGUUUUCCCUAGUUUUCAGGUGACAAACGGAGACAGAUGCCAGAAGGUGUUUUUCCAUUUGUUCCUAAUAAAAAUGGCUAAAUUCUGA